Molecule: small nucleolar RNA, 128 nt
Organism: Hyla sarda
Lineage: Eukaryota; Metazoa; Chordata; Amphibia; Anura; Hylidae
Product: small nucleolar RNA SNORA77
Exons: 1
Source: RefSeq, a predicted model, not a curated record
GCAGACUCACUCUGUGCUGAACUGCAAACUCCAGUUACAGCGCUUUUUCAGUCUGCUAUAUAAACACCAUGAUCAUCUAAACACUUUCUUUGCUGUGGAAAUGUGGUUUUUGAUUAUGGGAUAUUGGU